AACGAACGCUGGCGGCAUGCCUAACACAUGCAAGUCGAACGAAGCCUUCGGGCUUAGUGGCGCACGGGUGCGUAACGCGUGGGAAUCUGCCCUUGGGUUCGGAAUAACGGUUAGAAAUGACUGCUAAUACCGAAUGAUGUCUUCGGACCAAAGAUUUAUCGCCCAAGGAUGAGCCCGCGUCGGAUUAGCUAGUUGGUGAGGUAAAGGCUCACCAAGGCGACGAUCCGUAGCUGGUCUGAGAGGAUGAUCAGCCACACUGGGACUGAGACACGGCCCAGACUCCUACGGGAGGCAGCAGUUAGGAAUAUUGGACAAUGGGCGCAAGCCUGAUCCAGCCAUGCCGCGUGAGUGAUGAAGGCCUUCGGGUUGUAAAGCUCUUUAGUCCACGAAUAUAAUGACUGUAGUGGAAGAAUAAGCCCGGCUAACUUCGUGCCAGCAGCCGCGGUAAU
RNAcentral lists this ribosomal RNA (449 nucleotides) under uncultured bacterium. Its description in RNAcentral is "bacterial SSU rRNA". It matches the Rfam family "Bacterial small subunit ribosomal RNA", at positions 29 to 524 of the family's 1533-position model. The record is from RNAcentral.